This 310-nucleotide ribosomal RNA is filed under the name uncultured Ralstonia sp. Its description in RNAcentral is "bacterial SSU rRNA". It matches the Rfam family "Bacterial small subunit ribosomal RNA", at positions 202 to 508 of the family's 1533-position model. Lineage: Bacteria; Pseudomonadati; Pseudomonadota; Betaproteobacteria; Burkholderiales; Burkholderiaceae. The record is from RNAcentral.
GCAAGGCCUCAUGCUAUAGGAGCGGCCGAUGUCUGAUUAGCUAGUUGGUGGGGUAAAGGCCACCAAGGCGACGAUCAGUAGCUGGUCUGAGAGGACGAUCAGCCACACUGGGACUGAGACACGGCCCAGACUCCUACGGGAGGCAGCAGUGGGGAAUUUUGGACAAUGGGCGAAAGCCUGAUCCAGCAAUGCCGCGUGUGUGAAGAAGGCCUUCGGGUUGUAAAGCACUUUUGUCCGGAAAGAAAUGGCUCUGGUUAAUACCUGGGGUCGAUGACGGUACCGGAAGAAUAAGGACCGGCUAACUACGUGC